AUUGUUUCACCGGGGGGAACUAAUUUUUUUCUAAAACAAAAAAUAUCUUAAAAGAAAAAGUUAAAGUUGAAGUUAAUUUAAUUGAAAUUUUGGAGUGCGGAGGAAGAAGGCAAUUGAAUUGUGGUGGUACCCCGAGAGAGAACCCUGAUAAGUUGGAGAUUCCAUAUCUGAAUGGAAGAAGUGAUCUGAAAGAGCAUUUGAAUUUGCAUUUGGAAGUUGUGAAGAAGAAGAAGAAGAAAGGAUGAGUACUCAGGGUCAAGGAGGAUCUCAUUCCCUCGCGUUUCGGGUGAUGAGGCUAUGCCGCCCUUCUUUCAACGUCGACCCUCCCCUCCGCCUCGACCCCGCCGACCUCUUCGUCGGAGAAGAUCUCUUCGACGAUCCCUCCGCUGCCCCCAACCUCUCCUCCCCCUCCGAUUCCGAUUCCGAUCCCAACUAUCGCAACCGCUUCCUCCUUAACCAUUUCUCCGACUCCAUGGGACUCUCUGGCCUCCUCGUUCUUCCUCAGUCUUUCGGAGCCAUUUACUUGGGAGAGACUUUCUGCAGCUAUAUCAGUAUAAACAACAGCUCCACUUUUGAAGUCAGAGAAAUAACCAUCAAGGCUGAAAUUCAAACAGAAAGACAGAGAAUACUUCUUCUGGACACUUCAAAGUCACCAGUUGAAUCCAUACGUGCUGGUGGGCGUUAUGAUUUUAUUGUGGAACAUGAUGUGAAAGAGCUUGGACCUCACACGCUGGUCUGCACUGCAUUGUACAAUGAUGGUGAUGGUGAGCGUAAAUAUCUUCCUCAAUUUUUCAAGUUCAUUGUUGCUAAUCCGCUUUCAGUUAGGACAAAGGUCCGCGUUAUCAAGGUACGUUGAUGAUUUGAAUAUACUAUUAAAGUGAAGCUACCUAUUUGGAAGCUUGUAUUGAAAACCAUACAAAAUCAAACCUUUUCAUGGACCAAGUUGAUUUUGAACCUGCUCAGUAUUAUAGUGCAACAAUACUUAAAGGUGACGGGCACCAUUCUGAAUACGAUAGUCUUACAAGGGAGACAUUUAAACCGCCAAUACUAAUUAGAUCCGGUGGAGGAAUUUACAACUAUCUUUAUCAAUUGAAAUCAUCAUCAGAUGGUUCUGCUCAAACAAAGGUUGAAGGAAGUAAUGUUCUUGGUAAACUCCAGAUAACAUGGCGAACAAAUUUGGGUGAACCAGGUCGCCUGCAGACCCAGCAAAUAUUGGGGACUCCGACAACAAAGAAGGAGAUUGAGUUGCAAGUUGUAGAAGUUCCAUCCGUAAUUAACCUUCAAAAACCUUUCAUGGAAUUAGCAAAAAUUUGCUGAAGUUGAUUACUUGUUUGCAGCUGAAACUGAAUCUUACAAACCAGACAGAUAGAGAGCUGGGUCCGUUUGAAGUUAGCUUUUCUCAAAAUGGUUCAUAUGGGGAGAGAGUUGUUAUGAUUAAUGGCCUUCAAUCAAUGGUUUUAUCACAGGUAGAGGCUUUAGGGUCCAGAAAUUUCCACCUGAAUCUCAUAGCUACAAAACCUGGAAUUCAGAGAAUUACGGGCAUUACUGUUUUUGAUACUAGUGAGAUGAAAUCUUAUGAACCACUUCCUGAUUUAGAGAUUUUUGUGGACAUGGAUUAAAAUUGUGGCAACUGCAACCAGUUUGGUCAGAAGUGGUUGACAAUGCCAUAUUUUCAGAACUUUGAUCUGCUGUUAUCUGCAGUUAAUGUUCUGGGUCAUCAAUGUGCCUAGUCAGACCUACUAAAUCCCCAAUUGGUGACUCGCUGAUGCCACUAGACUUAGAUUCCCUUCCAGUUAGGACCAACGAAUCCUGCAUGAUCAUCAAAGCAUCGUUGGACUAAUUGCAAAGUUCUGUAACUAAAUUGGAGUAAUGAGUGGUUGAUUAUGUGCUGAUAGGGAAAGUCCGUGCUUUUACUGGUUCAAGGAGCUCAGUUAUUUUGAUUGUCAUUGAAAACCAAACCAUUGUCACAAUAUAUUUAUCCAACUGCUUAAUCAUCAUCCCUAUAGACGGUUUACAUCGCAGUUUUUCUCUUAUUGUAGUAACUGGUCAACUAUACUGAUGUCUCUUAAAGACAGAAUUUUAUUCAUUAUAAAAAACUUUAUCAUUU
RNA transcript from Abrus precatorius (Indian licorice), 2107 nucleotides. It is a transcript of the gene named trafficking protein particle complex subunit 13, with no coding region annotated. The record is from RefSeq and is a predicted model, not a curated record. NCBI's taxonomy places the organism in Eukaryota, Viridiplantae, Streptophyta, Magnoliopsida, Fabales, Fabaceae. The transcript has 12 exons.